Molecule: non-coding RNA, 73 nt
Organism: Bos taurus (domestic cattle)
Lineage: Eukaryota; Metazoa; Chordata; Mammalia; Artiodactyla; Bovidae
Source: Rfam
UCCCUGAUGGCCCAGCGGGUAAGACUCUGUGCUCCCAAUGCAGGGGUCCUGGGUUUGAUUCCUGGUGAGGGAA